UAGGGAAUCUUCGGCAAUGGACGAAAGUCUGACCGAGCAACGCCGCGUGAGUGAAGAAGGUUUUCGGAUCGUAAAACUCUGUUGUUAGAGAAGAACAAGGACGUUAGUAACUGAACGUCCCCUGACGGUAUCUAACCAGAAAGCCACGGCUAACUACGUGCCAGCAGCCGCGGUAAUACGUAGGUGGCAAGCGUUGUCCGGAUUUAUUGGGCGUAAAGCGAGCGCAGGCGGUUUCUUAAGUCUGAUGUGAAAGCCCCCGGCUCAACCGGGGAGGGUCAUUGGAAACUGGGAGACUUGAGUGCAGAAGAGGAGAGAGGAAUUCCAUGUGUAGCGGUGAAAUGCGUAGAUAUAUGGAGGAACACCAGUGGCGAAGGCGGGUCUCUGGUCUGUAACUGACGCUGAGGGUCGAAAGCGUGGGGAGCAAACAGG
RNAcentral lists this ribosomal RNA (429 nucleotides) under Gemmatimonadota bacterium. RNAcentral describes it as "Gemmatimonadetes bacterium partial 16S ribosomal RNA". It matches the Rfam family "Bacterial small subunit ribosomal RNA", at positions 355 to 776 of the family's 1533-position model. The record is from RNAcentral. Lineage: Bacteria; Pseudomonadati; Gemmatimonadota.